Long non-coding RNA from Brassica napus (rape), 1528 nucleotides. RefSeq lists it as uncharacterized. NCBI's taxonomy places the organism in Eukaryota, Viridiplantae, Streptophyta, Magnoliopsida, Brassicales, Brassicaceae. The record is from RefSeq and is a predicted model, not a curated record. The transcript has 2 exons.
CAGAUAAGUUGAACUCUAUGAGCAUGACACGUGUCACAAGAGAACAAAACGCUUAACUUCAUUUAGUCCCAAAUCUGAUUUUAUCGUGUUACGCUUCACCUCUUUUUAAAUCACCUCAUUCAUAAUGUUAUCGUCUCUUCCUUUUCCCAUUCCCUGAAACUAAACGUCUCCAUUAACGGAUAUUCUUCUGUUCAUGCUAUAAAGCUUAUCAACAACACCGCUCUUUUCACCACCUUGCUCAAUCCGCCGCCAUUGCCCCUACAGUCUCCGAUCUACCACAAAUGGUAAACCUAGCGUCGUCCUCCAGGUUUCGAACCCUUUCGGUAUAAAAGUUUCAGACUUUCAUCUCCAAUCUGACCCUCCAAGUCAGAGUCUCGAUGGGUUCUAUAGCCGGAUUCGCGGUUAAAAUUUACGCUGCUUCGGUAAUGUAUUAGCGAUAGGUAAGCCUCGGAUGUCUCCGGAGAUUUUCGAAGCUUUGAGUGCUAGAGGAAUUCAGAAACUCUUUCCUAUUCAGAGUUGUGCUUGAGCCAAAAAUACAAGGCCGUGCUAGGACGUGAACUAGAAAGACUCUUGCUUUUGAGAUUCAUGUCAUUGACAGAAUCAAAAAGAUCUACUCUAAACACGGGUUUGUCAAUCCUAAGAUUGUAUUUGCAUAUUUGAGGACUCAAAUAUUCACACUUUUUAUGGUUUUUGUGUAGAUUUGAUGUGUGAAAAGCUUGGGAAGAACCUUAUUUGUUUGGUUUUGGCUCCGACAAGAGAGUUUGCUGGUUAUGUUGAGAACGAAUUCAGAGAAGCUCUGUCUCUCGGUGAUGCACUAAACAGAGGAUUGAGCAACUGUCUGGAUACAUCAACAGCAGGUGCAGAUACAUGUCAGUGGAACACCGCUUCUGCAGUCUGUUCUUUGUCAAAGUGAAGCACGGACAAUCGUAUCCUGAUUGCUGAAGCAAGAGCAAUCCCUGUUGGGAAUCCUCUCUAUAUAUGAAAUUACGAAGAGCUGAUAUUUUUUUCUGGUGCAGUCACUUCGAUAGUUCAAGUUAGAGCGGGAACCAUGGAAGCAAGAGAAAACGCAGCAAUGACACUCUUUACACUUACGGUAGCCGGUGUAAACAAGAUCAUAAACGGCAGUGUGAUACUUGCUUAACUGGACCUUCUCGAUCACGGGUCCCCAAAAGAGAAGAAUGAUGCAGUGAUAGCAUUGUUCGAGCUGCUGCAGUGGUUAAGAUACCAAGUGUUGAUGAAGCUUGAACACGAUGUUGUUGUGCGAUUGGUGGAUCCAUCGAAGAACGGAACAUAGAAAGGGAAAAGGUAAGCUACGUCUUCGUCAGUGUUUCUGCACAUCAUGCCAAUUGUUUAUUAUGUUAAUAUUUUUUUCAGUCAAUUUUGUCUUUGGAUAGUAAUUCCAUUUGUGGAAUCAAAUCUGGAGUUAGUCAGCCAAAAGUGCUUUCCAGAAUCGCACUAUUUAGCUUGCUAUGUAUGUAUUUUCAUAUUUUGUUAUAUUUAUAACAGAAUGAAGGAGAAUAGUUUUGAA